Long non-coding RNA from Dromaius novaehollandiae (emu), 13380 nucleotides. RefSeq lists it as uncharacterized. Lineage: Eukaryota; Metazoa; Chordata; Aves; Casuariiformes; Dromaiidae. The transcript is spliced from 4 exons. The record is from RefSeq and is a predicted model, not a curated record.
AGCCUAAGUUAGUUACAGGAUGAGUAACACAAUAAACAUAAGAUAAAUUUAUUCAGGUUAGGGUAAAAAUUUUAAGAAAUGCUGCCAACUAGGACUAGGAACGUCAUCUGCUACUUGCCAGAGUGGAUGGUGUUACUGUGUUUAUAAUGUGUUCUUACCUACUUAGUCCAGAUGGAUUGAGGUAUGCCUGCUCCUCCUGUAAUCCUACCUCCAAUGGCCUGGCUGUGGGAAAAGGAGAGGAUUUCUGGUUUCUUCUUUGGAGAAUGCCUUAACCACAAGGUUAUAAUGGAGCAGGAGAUCUGGUAAGAAGCAUCAGAUGGGAUCUGUGUGGGGAAUGUAAGCUGAAUGAAGAGAUGAUACAAUAUAGAUCUGUAGAAGGUAGAAUUCUGUAUUACGGCCUUCUCCAAGUCAUCAUCAACUUACACACCUGACUUACUGUGUGGCCCAGCUCAAUGGGGUUGUCCUGACUGGGAUCAUAAGCCCGGAGUGGAAUUUCAGCCCUUCACGGCCAGCCCAGCCACAGCGAAUGGAGUGGAUGCUAACCUGUCUUUGGCCAUAAGUGGAAGCAUUCCCUGAAGGAGGGAAGGCUGCAGAUCCACGAUUCACAGAAGGUAACCUAGAUGGAGAUCAUGGAGUUUGAUGGAUCAGCUUUCUCACCUUUUCGUUCAUGAGUAUUGCUCCAAAACUUCCAGAAAGCAAGCACUUAGACCUUAGUCUAGCAAAGCAGUAAAGUGAUGCCUUCAAAGACAAUGUCACUGCACCUAGAGUUCCGCUGACGAGCUGAGGCCCUAAUUCAUGGCAGGAUUCAUCCACAGAUGUCUGUUUUGGCAUAAAUGCAUGUAUUAUGGUUUGCUACACUUGAGUUUUCCAUCAGAUUUUAAUGUCAUAUGAGAUCACCUGAGAUGGAAGAAGCAGGUAUAAGUGACCUCAAAUUCUGUGUGUCAUUUGUCUCACAGGGAAGGUUAGCAACAUUAAUCUUUGAGAUAACUACAACAAAAAAAACAUAAAUAGGAGCAGAACAUUGUGUUCCUUUAUCCACAAAGUGUAUUAGACUAAUCCUGCCACGUGAACAAUCUACCAACACAAAUAAUGUUAUCACACUGAAAUCUCCAGCCAACUAUUCCUGUCUUUGGCAAGGCUCUUGCUGUACAAUGAGGUGACCUCAGGUUGGGAAGAGAUCCUCUUUUGUCAGAUAUGCAUGCAUUUAGUAAGGAACAGCUCAAGCCAGUGCCUGGGAGAUGUACAACAAGGCAAGUGGAAAAACUGAUAGAGAUGUGGGAAAGUGUAGAUUUAUACAAAAUACAUACUGAUGAAGUUAUCUUCCAGCUGCCAGAACAGCUGCAGAUGCCAGUAAAUGUUUACAAAACACAGUAGAAGAAGGCGGGCAGCAGAUGCUUAACGGCAUAUGGGUUAUAGCUCCGAAUUAGACAUUAUUGAUUGUAAAUGCCUCACUGCAAGCCUACGUAUGUAGACAUAAAUGUCUCUGUACAAACAUUUGGAAUACCUGGAAAACUGACUUAAGUAGCUAAUGCAAUCUGUUUUGAAAGCUACUGGCAUUUCCACUUGCAAAAAAAAAAAUGUGUUUUAUGUCCUAAAAUGUACUUGAGAAUAACACUCAGCAUAGAAAUCUCAGUAUAACAUGAGACUAAAACUUGCCCUUUUUGAAAUGAGCUGCAUGUGAAGGAGUGAAGUCCAAUAUUCCUUUACUUACGGGCAGCUCAGCGGCAGUGGUUGUUUUUCUGCAGGUGAGUGCCCACAUGCUAUCAGCACACACCCAUGCACUUCAGCUAGAUCCCAAACCAGGAUCUCUAGGGCUUUUCCAUCCUCUCCUCUGCAUUUUCCAAGCUUUUGUAAUCCCCAAAACAAACCAUAUCAGGAGUCACAAUGAGGGAAAUAAAGCAUCAGAAUAUUAAGAUAUUAUUUCUAUCAGAAAUAGCUUCCCUAAAGGUGAGAUAUUAGAUUUCAAAUCACUGGGUGGGGUUAAACUCUUAUUUUCAAGUCAAUAGUGGAAAUCUACUGACCUCAACGCAAAGUAAGUUAUUCCAAGAAAGCCGGUAGAAACAUUGAGCUACUUAGUUUUAAGUAGCUGACUAUCUCAAAACCAGAGACAAAAUACCACACUAACACAAAAAGUUUACUCUUUGUGUAUUAAGGAGAAGAAGAAGUUGGUACAGCACAUGAGGACAGAGGCACAGGAGGGAGAUAAGGUAACUUCUGGUUUUAUUUUAUGUUGUCAUCAAAAACUGCAGCUGACAACACAUUUGCGGAGAGUGUAAAUGAACUUGACCCAUAUAGGGAAGUUAAGUAAUAAGGGAUCUGUACUGUUACAUGUACUGCUGCUAGCAAAGGACAUUGACGGUACUGACAGUACUGCACAGAGGGGAAGAGAGGGGAAGCGGUGUGCAGGGCAGUACCUGAACGUCCGGGAGUUCCUUCUCGAGAAUUUCAGUCUGGUGGACAACACAGACCAUCAUGUAUUUACACACAAUCAGCAUUGUAUCAAUACAUAAAGAAUAUUACAGAUAUAAAUCUGUGCCAAAAGAGCACAAUUAUGGAUUGGACAUGCAAAAUUGGACAUGCAGAAGAAAUGUUGGAAUUAUGGUUCCUUGUAAAAUUUUGCCUAGUCUUCCCUGAGUAUAUGCAUCAUGACAUGGUCUUUAAAUCUAGGAUACGCAUACUGCUUUGAUCUCAAAAUAUGUUUUAUAUGUAUACUGUUUCCCUCGCUCAGACAUGGCUGCAGCCAGCUCACGCUCCUGGCUCUGCAGACCGUUUGCAGGUAGGUGACGCACAGAAUCCGCCUGGAACUGGUAUUUUUUGGUGCCCUUCUGCUUUCUGUAGUUUCUGUACUGCUUUGCCAUCGCACAGUAUGUCUAUAAACAUAACCUGCAGUCACCUUUUGUACUUUCUCAUUUUCUCCCCAGGCGAGUGUGGUCUAGUCUGGACUUUGCAGUAAUCUCUGAUGUACAAGCAAAUCUAUUCCAGUGAUGCAGGAAAGGAGUCGAGACCUCUGUCGACAGGCCGUCCCUGUCGGUAGGAGGAGAUGCUGGGCUCUGCCUUAUGUUCCACAGCAGAGCGGAAUUUUGCACAGACCGGAGGGACUCAGUUCCUCCCUUAACACGUGCAGUGCGAUUUCAGAGCCGAAGUGCUUGAAACAAAACCGAUAAUAAGGGGUGUCUGAUAGUGGAAAUGCCUUCCUGCCUUUCUGUGAGAUAGUGUGCAGCACCGCUCUCCCGUCUGGCCAGCUCAUGGGCAGGAGCUCCCCAGCCUCCUUCAGCCGCUGUCAAAUUCUUGUUUUACCUGGGUCCUCUGCUGAGCCUACCUGAACUGUUGAUGGGCUUCAUGUGAGGGCAAAGAUCUGGAUUUGGUGUGAGAGGGAGACGGAGUUCUGCUAGGAGUCUAGCUACAGAAGCAAAGAGUGAACUAGCAAUGAAGAAAGACCUCUACUUUAUAGCACUUUGCUAAAGUUUCUUGGAGAUAUGUGUCUUACACUAGCAGGUUCUUCGAAAGAUUGAUUAGAAGUCCUUGAUGGUUUUAAGGAAGAAAAGGCAAGAAUAUAAAGUCUUGUGUUACAAAAGUGCUUUGUAUGAUUCUUCAGAGAUUUUAUUUUUAAAAAAUCUCAUUGUAUAUUAACUAUUCUUUUUGUGCACUUGGUCCUCCCCCAUCCUCUUGAUGGGUUUUGAAAUGUUUAAUAGAAAGUAUGAACGUAUUUUAUUAUACUUAUUUAUUUUCUGCCUCUUACAUUUUGCAAAGAUGCAGCAAGGUUUAGAACUAAAUUACAGACCUUGUUUAAAAAUGUGCAGGUUCAGGAGUUCUUAUGAAAAAUGUUUGGGUUUGGGGACCUGCUUGCUUUUUUUUUCUUUUUUUCUUUUCUCUUUUUUCUUUUUUCCUUCCCCUCUCUAACUUUUUCUUCCUGCUAUCACCCCAUGGAGAGCUUUUGUGUGCUAAAAAGUAAUGUAAACCCAACAUACUUAGGUCAGUCGCAUCAGUGUGAUCAGCCCCAAAACCAUAUAGGCGCAGGUGCAAGGUCUGGACAGCAAAUUUCAGAAAAACUACCUUUAUGUUGCAACUGCCUCAGUAUCCGCACACCACGCAGUGCCCAACUCCACAAAGUGUCCCAGGAAGCCAACGAAACCCCCGACAGAAUAAUGUGCUGCUAAACGUGAUCAAAGCUGUUUGCAUCCAACUCACGGUAACCAAAGAAGCCAGCCUGAAAACCUUCUCCUUUUCAUGUCGCCACUGAUUGCGUUAGGGAUUACAGUAAAAAGGCCCUUGUUUGUGGGACUUGGCAAUACCUGAGCUGCAUUAAAUAGAAGUGUUUCACAGAUAGGUGAGAGACUCCCAUGACCAGCAAAGCCUGCACCCAAGUUCUGAUGUGGCAAAGACCUGGGAGAUGUGACAAAUUCAGCAGCUUGAGUCACUGUGCGCUGCUUCUGAAACCAUUUAUCUGGCCUCAUCAAGGCAGUUCCUACCUCCUUUUGCAGCAGUUCGUGCUAGUCCAUCUGCACUCUUUGGGUGCAGCGUUGCCCUGGCCAGAUGCAGCCGUGGGGGCUGCUGUCCCAGCUGCUGGUCGCAGAGGUCUGCGACAAGGCUGCUGCUGCAGGCGCUACGAGAGGUCGGUGGCUCUUUCACCUCGUGUGCUCACCAGCUGGGAUUUGACAGAUGUUAAGCCAAAGAUAAGGCGACAAAGCUGCUGUCUGUGUUUCUGGAUUUGCAUGUAGCUCCAUGCUCACGUAUUACCUACGAAGUCUGCCUGCAGUUUUUUCCGUAAUGUGCCUUUAUUUUGGCAGUUUCAUUUGAUUUUUUUAUUAGUCUGAAACACUAGGUUCAUAUAUCACAAGGGGAUCCCACCCCUGUCUGUGGUGUUGUGUCCAUAAAUGGUAUUUGAAUCUAUAAACUGACUAAAACAGUUGCUAUUUUAAGAAGCUGCUGCUGAAAGCCUGGCUCUUACCCUCCAGAAUUAGGUCUAAAUAAUAAUUUUUAAAAGCUCAAAAUUGGUUAGAGUUGUGUUGUUCUGUUCCAGCAGACAUCUGCAUUGCAUAAACAGAGGUUUCAAGCAAAGGCAAUGAAACUGCACCAUCUUAAUAGCAAUAUUACUCCUAAAUAUAAAAAAGUAUGAUCUCCUCUUAAAUAGUAAGAGAAAGAGUAUUUGGGUUUGGGGGAGUAUUUUCCUUCUAGACUUUUGGGAGUCAUAUUUCAUCCUUUGUUCUGCAAUAACAAAUGUUAUAAACUAUUUUUUUUUAAAAAAAAAAAAAAAAAAGACUUUGUCAUGUUAAGCUGCGAAGCUACAACUCUGAGUGCAGAAGGUCUCAGGAAAGCAGGGGAGGUCACAGAAAUCGGAAACGCUGUCUGAGGACAGCACAUUUUUGACCUACCUGUGGUGCUAGGUCAUAACCCUACAGAACUGAUUCUGAAGGAAAAUCUUGAGUCUUAAACUUUCACUUUUUGUUUUUAACUUGCCUAAAACUUGCCAAAUAAUCCCACUAGAGUAUAUUACUAAAUACCCACUUACCUGACCUGCCGUGACUGCUCUGUGCCACGGUGCUGGCAGCAGAGGGGAGGUGUUUCCGAACCGCCCCACUUUUACUGCUCGGCUCGGGAAGUUGUGUCAGCAGGUCGCGUCAGUGGCAGCGGGCUGACCGGGCUCGCGGGGCACGGCGACACCCCGGCGUGAAUCAAAAGGGAAGGGCCCCUUUCAGUAUGUAUAUCCUGCUCUGUAGCAGUGACUGAUGUGGAAAAUAUUAAGAAACAGCAUAAUGAGCAGCGUAUGUGGGAGUGCUGCGCAUACGAGGGACCUCAUUGAAAAAGUUUCACGCAGUCUGACAACUGUUUUAAUGUCGUUUAAAUCUACAGAGCGAGGACAAAAAGGCUGCACCGAAGCUUUCUGGACGGUCCUGUGUGAACAGCAGAGUAAAGCAAGUAGAGGGAAUCGGGUUGCCUUUCUUCAACCGAGUAUUUCCUUCGGGUUUGUGCCGAGCAGAGUGUGAGCAGUGAAGGCUGCACCUCUGCGUACGGAGGGGAUAACGUGAGCCCAGGCGGACCGCGGUGGUCCCCGCUCCUGCCGGCUGGGACCGCGGGAGCGACGCAGGCGCUGCAGUGUGAAUGGCGUCUCGGCGCGUGCCGGCGCUCGCGGGGACGUGGACGUAGGGCCCAGCCAGCUGCAGGAUUCCUAGUGACCACGUCCUGGAGUUAGCAGGCUCCUCCGAGGGCCAGAUGCCUAUCGGAGCUGUACGCGUAGGCUUAAUGCCGCGUGCUGUCGAGUAUUUGAGGUCUCUGAAUCAUUUCUGAACCUUUUACUGAAUAAACGAAGUAGCUGGAGCUGAGGAACAGUUUUGCCAGCACAGUCCUGCCUCCACCAUGCGCCCUUGACCCAGCGCUUGUGCUGAUACUAGUGACACCAACGGGAAGGUGGUUUAGGGAGCAGCUCACUUUCUGGUUGCACAAAUGCCAGAGCCAGCAUCCUGCGGCAGGUGGGAACGCGUGGGUGGCUGGCUGAGAGAGGGUAUGAUUACAACACCCUAAAUUUAGAUGGGAAGUCCCCAGCUUAAGCUGUGGUGGAACUACAUUCCGGUCUUUGACAAUAAGACAUGAUUUUCAGACCUCAUUUUUGCAGUUUAACGUUGUUUUUACCUCUUUCUCACGUGUCUUGCAGUAUGCUACUCAUGACUCAAGUAUGCUGGCAACUUUGAUGUAAUAUAGAAAUAAAUCCCUACAACAAAGACGAGGCGAGCGCUGUCAUGUUGAAGUGUUUGGACAUGUUGAUGAUAUUAAAUGUUAGUUCUAGGGUCACACAGUACAAGUAUAUAUAGAGAACUUUUAAUAACUUCGAUUUUUUACCAUUUGCAAACAGCUGCACUUCUGUCCCUUCCUUAGCUCUGCAUUUCAGCUGCUCUGUCAGUGUCUCAGUUUGUGUUUACAGGAGCAUGUGAGAGAGACAAAUAAAAUAUGCAGCUUGCGAGCCCUAACUGCAACCUCAGCGAAAGCCUGAAGAAGCUUUGGCUUUGCAUGAACUCGUUUUGCUUCCUGGAGCUGCACAGGAGGUUGAAACCUCUGACUUUUGGGGGGCUCCGCCCCGUCAGCGCCUCUCUCGGGAAGGGCCUUAGCCCUCAGGAGCAGUGACGGACCCUGGACCGUGGAUGGGGAAGCUCCUCCUUGGCUGUGGGACUUGGCUGGGCACCAGAGCCAGCAGGAGCAGCCCUGGGGUCACAGCCCCCCCUCGCACUGCAUCCUCCGCCAGGUCCAUGCAGUGAGCGGGAUCCAGGGGCUGGAAAGAAGAGGGAAAAAAAUAUAUAUUAAUCUAAGUCCUACAUUAAACCUGUCGAUACUUUUGGCCUCUGGAAGAUCCUGUGACAUCAAGUCCCACAGAAUAACUACAGCAUGUGUAAGACGUGCUCCCGUUUUAUUUUAGAUUUAAUUGGGUGCGAGAGGCUUCCUGUACUGCGAGGAGCGGGGAGGAUUUUUAUCCGAUUUCUCCGCACUAGCUGUAACGUUACAAGCUGACCCCUCAGCUGCUGUGUUUUCUGGGCUGCAAGUCCCGGCUCGGCUGGGCGCGAGGGAGCGCAGCGUGUAGCUGGCCCCGAGGAGCGACCGCCGCUCACCCACUCCCGGCCCCGCGGGGCCGUGAGCCAUUCGGAUUUCGCAACUUGGGCCUUUCUGCUCGCCUCCUCGUUCCCGUGGGCUCGCCUGUGGGGAGGACGUCUUGGAAAGGGAAAGUUGCUCAGUGCAGUAACGGGAUUUGUCCCAAGUGCUCGCUACUGAAGUCAGCAGGAGCGCGGCAAAGCCAAAAAUUGCUCUGGAAAACUGCGUGGAAGAUGCCUGGGGAUUUUGUACCUUUUUUUUUUUUUUUUUUUUUUUCCCCUAUCUUGCCACAGUAAUGUAGGGUGAUAAAAUAAGACUCAGCAUUAGGAAAUUGUUCUAGAGUUAACUCAGGUUCAUUUAAAACUUAAAGCAUAAUAGCUGUUCCUGAAUAUCUCUGUUACCGGAAACUUAUUCCAAGUAAGAAUACAGUUUAGCUUAAAGUAAUUCCCCGAAUGGGCUAAAAUAAAUGCAAAAAAGACAACUAUGUACCAGAAUCGGAACAUUUCUCUCCUGGACUGGAUAUUGGGGAAUAUUUUCUUCCACAUUAACUAUUCCAGCAAAUUCUCCUGUGAAAAAAAUGUUUAACAGAACUGUGGAAAGAAUUAAUCCCCCCCUUUUUUUUCCCCCCAGUGAACUGAAGCAUCAUUGUAACCUCAUUGAAUCACUUCAUAUUUUCCCAGACUUAAGAACCAGGAAGGAUAUUUUGGAACUGAAAAGUCAAAAUUUCUAUUACAGUGAUGCUUACAAAUGGCAACCUUUAUACCAACCACCUCUUUUUGAAACAUCAUCUACUCUUUUUAGCUCAAAAUUGCCAUUGGAGUGAAAGACCCAUUUUUCUUUUUAGUUUGAGAAGCAAGAAAGUUUUGUCAGUAAUUUCCAUUUUUAUAAUAAAAGUACGUCAAUUGUAUUGUACGGCAAAACCAAGUUUAGACCAGCAUGUUUUUCUUCAUUUGUCUAACCAGUAUCACUGAAACUGAGGCUGCUUCACAAAAUGAGCUUUCUUGUCUUCAGGUUUUUAAGGCCGGGUAUUAUUUUUGUUGUUUGCCCGUCUCCCCGUGACCUGGCGGCUGGGACCGGCACGGAGGCUGCGCGAGCUUUUCAUGGCUCGUCGACUCGCAAAACCUUACUGUUAAACGUGGCUACGGUUUUUCGGGCAGCACUUGAGAGCCAAUACUGUUUCCAUGAAGAAAAGACAAAAAACGGCAGUGAUGGAAAGUUAAUGCCCAUUACUAACAGCAGGUAGAGGAAGGAGGAAAGUUUUCCAGCAACGCGGGGCUGCUCUAGUCCCAGAACGAAAGAGGUGCUAAUCCCGAGGCUGCCUCUGGUACUGGGCUGUGCUGUUACCCGUUUCCAAACCAGGCUGGUUAAGACUACCAGGCAGGUUUUCUUCCUGGAGUUAAAGUCACAGCUUUGACUGCUGUUUGCUCAUAUGCCUCAUUAACCUAAAAAUAAUGGCCCAGCACAAAGUUAUAUCCAAUGACAACAGAAAAAGGCCUUCCUUUUAUGUUGAGGAUAACAUUUUUUUCCUAAUAAAAGCAUUGGUUAAUGUUGAUAACCAAAGAAUUGUAAACAAAUUGAAUGUAUGUGUUUCUUUUGCUUUGGUUACUUCUGCCUGUCCUUGUGGCUUUCCAUCUAUGCAGUAUUGUGCUGCUUCAACUUUAAAGUCAUAACAACUUCAAUUAAAAAAAUUCCUCUGCACGCAUUUUACUACGUUCUCACAAAGCCUAUGUACAGAGCAGGCCUCAGAUUGCAGAAUGAAAAAGGAUGAAGUUAAUGCUUGUGCAGCUGCCUGCUUGGUUUCAGUUUCAGAAUAUGAAAGGCUGAACUUGAGGAGAAUAUCUAUUUAUUCAAAACAGUUGUGUUUAAUAGGGUUCUUCCUCUGUGGGCGUAUUUCUAUCAGCCUGAAGAUCUGUAAAGAGAUUUCAUAGGUAUCUAAAUCAUGAGUUGGGUCUAAAUUUUGGGUCUGAAUCAAGAGUUGUACUGAUUAGCUAUUUAUGUCAGCAAAAAUGAGGGCAAUUUUUGAGAACAGAGACCUGCAGGAGGAGUGGUAGGUUGUCGGAGGGCUUGCUCCCAACCCUGAAAGGCAGCAGGACCGUCUCACUUCAGGUGUUAUUCGACUGAGUUGAUGUUGGCUGAGCUUCCAACAUCGGCUUAGUUUCCUGACUUCUUGUGAAAGGUUAAUCCGAAAUGUAAAUGCUGACUGUGAGGAGGCUUUUUGGAGAACAUAAACCAGAUGAUUCCCUAGGGAGGAGAGCGGCUGCUGUUGGGAAGGUCAGCGAAAGGAAAGUUGUGCUGGCAGCAUGCAGCAAAAGCCGCGCUGCCCUUCAGUAACUGACGUUUAUUCUGUGAGCGAGAAAAGCUACAUUUCAAAGCCAUUUCGCACUGGAAACCUGGUUCCGAGACCAUCUAACAGUCACCGUCUAUCCUUUGGAUUCAGCUGUCAGUGACCAAGGACAGGUCUGUUUGUUUGCAAAAACAUGACAUAGAGGGAAAAAGACAUUUGACAUGACUGACUUUGUUUGUUCUUGCCAAGGAGGAAAUACUGGUGAAAAAGGCUCCCUGAGUUUUGCAACGCUGCAGCUAUGGCAGUAAAUAAGAGAAGGCUGCAAGAAUAGAGAUCAUCAUCAUCGUAAGCCAGAGUCUGGGGAAAGGAAACAACCAGCUACUUCAGCUUACCGAAGUCUUUCCAUGGUUCUAAAACUGCAAAAAGUAGGACUCAGUUGCUAUACUUCCUUGUUUCAUCCCUAUUAGCAUGGUCACUAAUGUAUCUCCUACCUCUUCGGGAGCAAUUAAAUUAGGAGGUGUGGGUUAAUUUGAAACAUGUACAUACCCUAUAUAAAAAUACAUAAAUAUAUAUUAAAAAUAUAUAUAAAUUUUCCAUGAAGUUCUAGCAAAUUUUGGGUGAAAGUUCAAGCUGGUUCUUCCUUUAAUCUGAAUCAGUUUGUUUGGGUUUUGUCAAAGUGUAGCUCUGGUAACUGCAUAAUAGACUACGCAGUCAGGGAUAACAAUAGCUGCAGCUGCUACGGAUGAGUUGUCUGUUGCCUGUAAAUCGUUUUCUCUAUUACAGGUAGUGCAUGACAGAGGAAGGAUAUUUAUGAAUUACGCAGUAAAUGAGAAGCGGUAACAAACUAAGUUAAAACUAAUCUUCAUCUCAAAUAUACUGAAUUCCCCUUCAAGCUGAUCUGAUCCUAAUUAGCUUGGGAAAAUAGCGCUGUUUGAUGGUAUUGAAAUAUCAUAGAAAAAAGCUAACCCAGUCGGCUACCUUAAUCACUGGUAAAACUGGCUACUGGCAACGGAUUUGUGGGAGAUGUGAGAUACUUGACCUAAUAUUUGCCUUAUAAAAAGACAUAUGGCAUUUGUAGACCGUGUUCCUGACUCUAUAGCAUCAUGAGAUUUGUCUAUGCUGGAAACUACACUCAUAAAUAGACAGCCACUAAAUGGAUGAAGAUGUUCUGCUUGAAGAUAUGAAUUUGUAUUAUUGCUUUUCUAGCUCUAUUUGGAAAUCAGCUAAGCUGCUUUUGGAAAAGCAUGGUACUGAGUGGCUUCACCCACUUACACUUUUGCCCACUUGCAAUGUGCCAGUGACUCAUGUCAGGACACGUUGCCAAUGCGUUAAAAUUGUUUUCAAGCCAUGUUUGAACUUUGGACCUCCCAACAAGGCUCAUCCGCGUCACUGUGUUCAGGUGAUCUGUAACAUGAAGCCAUUCAUUGGAUGUUAAACCAGCCAACAACUCCUUUUUUCUUCACUUCACUCCAGAGUCUCUUCCCCAUCUGGGCAUCACCACGUUCACAGCGUUAUCGUUGAUAGGUACCGUUUGAAUGCGGUUCCUGCAGCCUCUGAACAUCUUCUGAUGGCUGAGCAGAUGAUGCCAUGUUAUGUAAUCAGUCUGGCCACUUACCUAGAAAGGAGCAUCAGAAAAUGAGCAGCGUGCUUUCUGGAUGAACAGCAUGCCUUGCCAAGAGGCUGCUGAUGCGCAAGAGAAAGGAGGAGCAGCAGAAGCAGAGGUGUGCACAGAGGAACGUAUGACAAAACAGCGAUGAGGGACAUGAACCUCGAGGUCAGUUAGCCCCACCUGCCUUCACGUCUGACCACGUUUGCACCAGAAGGAGAGCUGAUGGAAAGCUGGUUCAAAACACGGCCCGAGCUUGAAAGGGAGCUCUCUUGCAAGCUUUUUUGCCUGAGGAGAAAGGACAAGGAGCCUCUCUUUGGCUCACGUUUAGUAUGCGAAUGAACAGUGCUCCCAGCUGAUUUAGGCAAGAUCUAUCUUUGGACUAUUCGAAACAUUUGAAAAUAUGGCUUUUUCCCCACAGGGCAGCCUGCCACAAGGUACCAGACCACAUUUCAGCAGCACCGUGGGCUUAUCCAUUGCUUGCCAGGUCACCCGCACCCCGAGAGAUUCCUGCAGUCAUGACUGGCAGAGCCUAUGUAAGGCCAAUGUGUUUUUUACUUAAUGGAGAUUUUUUUUUUUCAGAAAGCAGAGCAGAAGUUUUUUGGUCUUUGCUGCAUUUUGGCUAGACAAAGAACACGUGUCUGUGCCCAUGAUUGCUGCCGGCCCAGGUCUGUUGCAUCCACGAAUCUGCUUGUCCUCACACCCAGGGAUCCUGAGGGCAGGUUUCCAAAGGGGUAGUGGAUCAAAACCCCUUGCUUUUUUGUAAGGUUUGCUGUUACAAGCACAAAGGAAAUUUCAACUGUAUGAACCACACAGUACAGGACACUGCAAAGGGUACGUCCUCACUGGGGCCGCAGAUGUCGCAGGCUCACUUGAACUACAUUUAAACUGUCUGUUUGGGUUCUCCCAGCAAUGUAACCAGACAGGCAGGCUGCUCGACACGGCCGGCAAAGCACACCCAAGAUGCUGGGUAAAUACUUAUUACGGGGUGUAACUGCGGGCUAAAACGAGCCAGGCCGAUGUCCCCCCACCGCUGUGUUGCUCUCUCUCCAUCACCCUGCCCCAGUGCCUGGGUGGCUGCAGGGCGAGUCAGAUCAGGCAGCCAAGCCCACAGAAAGCAAACCCACCAGAAAAAGAAAAGUUUCCCACCAGACCCGCUUGCUCGUUCGGCGCCACAGCAGCUGCACCGUUGCUGAAUCAGACUCAAGGAUAUGAGCGAUGUGCAGGGGAGUGGGGAAGGGGAGGGAGCCGGGGAAGUGGGGCUGUCCAGCUUCCUGGGAAGGCGGCUGCUGCCGCUGUGAUGUCAGGCUGAGGCGUAAUGUGAAGGCCAUAACCUUGGCUGGUCUGAGCAAAAUUCCCUGAAUCCAUCCCACUAGCACCACCUGAGUCAGGCAGUGUAAAUCCCACUUGGGAACGUCAGUGCUGUCCCAGCAGCGGUGGUGGCAAAGGCAUAUCCUGUGCGUCGUCGGUCACCAAACAUGACAGAGGACUGGGAAGGAUGUGACAAAACAGCUGUCAUCCAGCUGGUGAUGUUGCUCAAGGUCCUUUGAUAUGCAUGUUAACAGCAUGUUGAGACUAAAAAAAAAGCAAAAUGUGGCUUGGUUUUGGGAAACUGCUAUUAAAAUAAUCCUCUGUAUGCAUUUGUGGUUAUAUCAAUUCUGUGAGUGGCUUAUUCCAGGAAAACGUAAUUGGGCCAUAUCAACUCCAACAAACAGAAACUUCCCUUCAUUGUCAGCAAAGCAGCUGCAUUAUUUCUUCCCUGGGAGGGAUGCAAAAGGUGGCACUUCUGCCAGACUCCCUUGACCUGCGAGGGGGGAUAUUUCUUAUCUGUUGGUGAUCCGCUAUCAGCUUCCUUCGUGACUCUUCAUCCAUUCUGCUCUAUUGUUCAUGGCAAUAAAACUUCAUGCAAACUGUA